UACGAAGGGGGCUAGCGUUGCUCGGAUUGACUGGGCGUAAAGGGCGCGUAGGCGGUUCGUACAGUCAGACGUGAAAUUCCUGGGCUCAACCUGGGGGCUGCGUUUGAUACGUGCGGACUUGAGUGCGGAAGAGGGUCGUGGAAUUCCCAGUGUAGAGGUGAAAUUCGUAGAUAUCAGGAGGAACACCGGUGGUGUAAACGGCUUUCUGGACCAUAACUGACGCUGAGGCACGAAAGCGUGGGUAGCAAACAGG
This 253-nucleotide ribosomal RNA is filed under the name uncultured bacterium. RNAcentral describes it as "partial 16S ribosomal RNA". It matches the Rfam family "Bacterial small subunit ribosomal RNA", at positions 524 to 776 of the family's 1533-position model. The record is from RNAcentral.